UCCGGGUUUCGCCCGGCAGUCUCCCUAGAACAUUCUACUACCUGCAUGUCCAGCCUGGGUAAGGUUCUUCGCGUUGCGUCGAAUUAAACCACAUGCUCCACCGCUUGUGCGGGCCCCCGUCAAUUCCUUUGAGUUUCAACCUUGCGGCCGUACUUCCCAGGCGGAAUACUUAAUGCGUUAGCUGCGGCACCGGCGGUAACCCGCCGACACUUAGUAUUCAUAGUUUAAGGCGUGGACUAC
RNAcentral lists this unclassified non-coding RNA (240 nucleotides) under uncultured Nitrospiraceae bacterium. RNAcentral describes it as "contains 16S-23S intergenic spacer region". Lineage: Bacteria; Pseudomonadati; Nitrospirota; Nitrospiria; Nitrospirales; Nitrospiraceae. The record is from RNAcentral.